GACGAAGGGGGCUAGCGUUGUUCGGAAUUACUGGGCGUAAAGCGUGUGUAGGUGGUUGCCAUAGUCAGGUGUGAAAGCCUUGAGCUCAACUCAAGAAACGCACUUGAUACUGGGCAGCUAGAGGACCGGAGAGGAUAGUGGAAUUCCCAGUGUAGUGGUGAAAUACGUAGAGAUUGGGAAGAACACCAGUGGCGAAGGCGGCUAUCUGGACGGUUUCUGACACUAAGACACGAAAGCGUGGGGAGCAAACAGG
RNAcentral lists this ribosomal RNA (253 nucleotides) under uncultured bacterium. RNAcentral's name for it is "partial 16S ribosomal RNA". It matches the Rfam family "Bacterial small subunit ribosomal RNA", at positions 524 to 776 of the family's 1533-position model. The record is from RNAcentral.